This 768-nucleotide ribosomal RNA is filed under the name Staphylococcus saprophyticus. RNAcentral's name for it is "bacterial SSU rRNA". It matches the Rfam family "Bacterial small subunit ribosomal RNA", at positions 59 to 812 of the family's 1533-position model. The record is from RNAcentral. Lineage: Bacteria; Bacillati; Bacillota; Bacilli; Caryophanales; Staphylococcaceae.
CAGUCGACCGACAGAUAAGGAGCUUGCUCCUUUGACGUUAGCGGCGGACGGGUGAGUAACACGUGGGUAACCUACCUAUAAGACUGGGAUAACUUCGGGAAACCGGAGCUAAUACCGGAUAACAUUUGGAACCGCAUGGUUCUAAAGUGAAAGAUGGUUUUGCUAUCACUUAUAGAUGGACCCGCGCCGUAUUAGCUAGUUGGUAAGGUAACGGCUUACCAAGGCGACGAUACGUAGCCGACCUGAGAGGGUGAUCGGCCACACUGGAACUGAGACACGGUCCAGACUCCUACGGGAGGCAGCAGUAGGGAAUGUUCCGCAAUGGGCGAAAGCCUGACGGAGCAACGCCGCGUGAGUGAUGAAGGGUUUCGGCUCGUAAAACUCUGUUAUUAGGGAAGAACAAACGUGUAAGUAACUGUGCACGUCUUGACGGUACCUAAUCAGAAAGCCACGGCUAACUACGUGCCAGCAGCCGCGGUAAUACGUAGGUGGCAAGCGUUAUCCGGAAUUAUUGGGCGUAAAGCGCGCGUAGGCGGUUUCUUAAGUCUGAUGUGAAAGCCCACGGCUCAACCGUGGAGGGUCAUUGGAAACUGGGAAACUUGAGUGCAGAAGAGGAAAGUGGAAUUCCAUGUGUAGCGGUGAAAUGCGCAGAGAUAUGGAGGAACACCAGUGGCGAAAGCGACUUUCUGGUCUGUAACUGACGCUGAUGUGCGAAAGCGUGGGGAUCAAACAGAUUAGAUACCCUGGUAGUCCACGCCGUAACGAUGA